RNAcentral lists this ribosomal RNA (253 nucleotides) under uncultured bacterium. RNAcentral describes it as "partial 16S ribosomal RNA". It matches the Rfam family "Bacterial small subunit ribosomal RNA", at positions 524 to 776 of the family's 1533-position model. The record is from RNAcentral.
UACGGAGGGUGCAAACGUUAUCCGGAUUCACUGGGUUUAAAGGGUGCGUAGGAGGGCAGGUAAGUCAGUGGUGAAAUCUCCGAGCUUAACUUGGAAACUGCCGUUGAUACUAUCUGUCUUGAAUAUUGUGGAGGUGAGCGGAAUAUGUCAUGUAGCGGUGAAAUGCUUAGAUAUGACAUAGAACACCAAUUGCGAAGGCAGCUCGCUACACAUAUAUUGACUCUGAGGCACGAAAGCGUGGGGAUCAAACAGG